This is a long non-coding RNA of Lynx canadensis (Canada lynx), 3426 nucleotides long. RefSeq lists it as uncharacterized. The record is from RefSeq and is a predicted model, not a curated record. Lineage: Eukaryota; Metazoa; Chordata; Mammalia; Carnivora; Felidae. The transcript is spliced from 7 exons.
GAUUCUGUGUCUCCCUCUCUCUGACCCUCCCCUGUUCAUGCUCUGUCUCUCCCUGUCUCAAAAAUAAAUAGGGUUAGUCCACGGUGUCUUUGGGGCUUAAAGUACAGAACCCUAGCCCCUGAUUCCCUGGGAGACCAGAUAGAGGAAGAGAUCACCUGACACCAGCUGUAUACCGAGCUUAAGGACGGGCAUUUCAGAGAUGGAAUCUAGGGGUCCUAGCUCCCCAGCGCGUGACCAGGAAAUCGCGGCCCAUUUGCUUUUCUUGGCUCCCGCUGCUAGAAAUGAGUGUUUCCUGGGUAUCUGGGGGGGGGGGGGGCUUGGAGGCUGUGACCCCUGUGUCUGUCCCACUGCCCCUCCCCAGCAUGACCCCUGCCGUGUGAGGAGACCAUCCGUGGCCGGGGCAUUGAACACUGGAACACAGAAUGUUCUAGGCAGAGGAAGAGGAGGGGGCACGUCUCUUCACUUCCACGCCGCAAGCUCCGCUUCUGUCCACAGUCUUACGAAACCUUUUAACUUCUGACUCUCCAGCCUCUAGAUUUCAGAGCUCAGCGCAGUCCCAGGGGCCAGAUGAGAACAGGCUCCAUAUCAUUUCUCUUCCUCUGCUCUUCCCUCAGCCCAAACUCCCAACCCACCCUUUUCUUUUCUCUCUCUUACAGAACAAAAGCGUCUGGCACAGCAGGGGGUAGCAAAGACACGGGACGACGUCGGUAGGAGUACCCUCUGCCCUCAGGCUCAGCCAUUCCCAAAUUGCGUCCUUACACAGAUGCUGUGAGAUAGAUAUUGUCAGCCCAUUUUACAGAUGGAGACACUGAGGCUCAGAGAGGAGAAGCUGGGCCAAGGAUACUCAGCUGGCAACGUCUCAUCCGUGAAGGCCUGGGGGAGGAGAGCUUGACCCCUUCGGAAAUGCAGGUGGGGCCAAUUUCUCUAGGAACACCGCAGGGAACCCUCCAGAAGCUCCAGGCCGCGCCCAGGGCUGGGAAGGACGCGAGUCCAUUCCUGGAUUGCCCCGUCUGCUUAGGUGGCAUUUCCAGAAGCUGAUUCUCUAGCGGGGUGUGUGGUCAGCGGGCGAGUGACACGAUUAGCUUUAAUGGAACCCGGAGGAAGCAGGAGCAAGGCAAGAAGUGAUUACAACAGAAGAGACCACGCUCAAGGAUUCCUUUUGAUCUUCAAACAACCCUGAGAGGGAGGGGGUCGUCCCCAUUUCCUAGCCUGGGAAGCAGGCUCAGAGAGGCCUGCGGACUUUCCUGAGGUCACCCAGCUGGCGGGGGCGGGGGCAGCUGCCUUCUAAAAACUCCGCAGACCUGAUGGGCAUCCCCUGCUCACUGCUGAGGCUGCCCUGACUCCAGGGCAGUGGUCACCUCACUUCCUGAGCAACCUUCUGAAGACCGUUGAACUUGCGGUCCACGGGGCAGGCGAAAGCCCCGCGCGUGCCCUGGGCACCGUUUUCCACCCGCCACCUCAUCCUCCUGGCUUCCCUACCUUGGCCCCCAGGGCAUGGUGGGGGGGGGGGCGGCCAAGCUGUCAUCUGAGAGCACUCCUAUGGCACCGCGUGGGAAAGGGACACUGAUUUACGAUCGGAAAGGUAAAGGAAGAUGCCGGGAAGAAGCAGGGUGGUAGGGGUGGGUGGGCAAUCAGGGAUAGCACCGGAAAGAAUAAAAAGAAUCCCUGAGCCUUAAAAAAGAGCCUGCCCUCUGAUUGCUGGCAGGCGUGGGCAGGCGCUCUCUCCUGUAAGACUGAAACGGAACCACGGAUGAGGAGAAAGCAUCUGGGGGCUUGGGUGUGCCUUGUAGGACUGCGUUAAAUUACAAACGUAUUGAUGGACCCCGCUGGUUAACAGGCUGGGCACGUGAGGAGGGGCUGGACCCGGGGAGCAGCGUCCCUCUGCCACCACCGUGUCACCUCUGAGUCUUGGCAAAUCUUAUAAUUGGCCCGACGGGUUAUGAUUUGAAACCGGGGGAGCCAAUCAGCAGGCGUCUCCUCUGACCUCCGGUUUGGGGUGGUGGGAGACGAGGCAGUGACUUGAGACACAGAGAAGGGAAAAAAAAAAACAUUCAAAACUAAAAAUAAAAAUAGAGACUAUCAAGAGCGAAGACCUAAAUCUUUUUGGCUCCCUGAUUAAUAACCCUGUCAUGCCGAUCACAAACCCUAAACAGCAAUGCUCGUUGCAGCUGAAUUUUUUAUACUUUCUAUUAAUCUUUAAUGAUAGCUUGGUCACCUAGUCUCUUUUAUCUUGUCAGAUAAAUGUAUGGUUAACAGGAUAAUGAGAUUUCUAAAGCCCCAUGCCAGCUCCCAGCCAUCCAGUGCUUGCGGUGACCUCUGACCCCUGGCAGACAGCGGCACCAGGGUGCUGGUAAUUGGUAGGUGUGCUGGGAAGGUAUUGGAGGCUGACGGAUGGUUUAAACUUUGAUUUGCGGUCAGCGAGGUCACCGAGCUCGGGAGGACCAGCCCGGUGUUAUUACCAGCUGCCUCUGAUGGGGAUAUAAUUAGAUUUAGCUAUUUCUUUAUUAAUAAGUAAUUGCUUCCCCCAUCGCUGUGGGUGGGCAAAUGUAUUCCUUGGAUAAUUUGAGGACACUCCUCUGGCUUUAUUAAGAAGAAUAUAUCACGCGUAUUGGCCAGAGGCAGACACCCAUUCGGUUUUCUGGACUUUGGAGGGACUGGAUCAUUUUUACCCAUUUGCAGCUUCGAGUAAGUUAGCUGUGCCUCGUGAAAUCUGCCCUCGCCUCGGUGACCUCGAACUCUCUGCCGUCAUAGGGAAACUCUGUUUUGACCCGUUUCCUGUGAUGUAAGAGCAAGAAAUAGUAAAUAGUUUCAUGCAGCUGUCCAUCCAGCCACUGAAUUAUCCAUCCAUCCAUCCAUCCAUCCACCCAUUAUCCUAUCGUCUACUCAACCAUGCUCCCUGGGAGGGUGAACAUAUUGUCUUAUGUCUACUGGACCUUUGCCCUGGAGACCCCGUUACGCUUGGAUCUACUUCCCACAGUCUUGGGUGGCACUUCCUCCAAGGACAGUGACGGCGUGGAGAGAGGCCUGAUUCUUUGCCUUUGCCUGGAUAGGCCCUGCCCUGUCUCUUGCUUUAGAGGUAGACUCUCUCUUCUCCCCCCUCCCCUAUUCUUCCUCCAGGGACACACCCAUUCCCCUAGGGCUUGGCCCCCUCUGUAAGAACCACUUGUCGUCACUAGGAGACCCUCAAGAGCAGUGGACAGGAAAAUGCCACCAGGACGGACUCAGGCCAGACCAAGGAAGCCCAGUUCUGGACUUAGUGGUCUCCCAGACCGACAGGCCAUUUGUCGUACCACCGAGGCAAGGUCCAAUGUGGGUCUUGCCAUCCGAUGGCUCUACAGUAGUCCCACGGGCCCGCCUGGAUGCAAGGACCACGCCCAGGAAGAACAUGAACUGGUGUGAGCGAACAUUUACCGUUAGCUCUUUCUC